AAUCAAGAACGAAAGUCAGAGGUUCGAAGACGAUCAGAUACGGUCGUAGUUCUGACCGUAAACGAUGCCAACUGUCGAUCCGCCGGAGUUGCUUCAAUGACUCGGCGGGCAGCCUCCGGGAAACCAAAGUUUCUGGGUUCCGGGGGGAGUAUGGUUGCAAAGCUGAAACUUAAAGGAAUUGACGGAAGGGCACCACCAGGAGUGGAGCCUGUGGCUUAAUUUGACUCAACACGGGGAACCUCACCCGGCCCGGACACUGCAAGGAUUGACAGAUUGAGAGCUCUUUCUUGAUUCGGUGGGUGGUGGUGCAUGGCCGUUCUUAGUUGGUGGAGCGAUUUGUCUGGUUAAUUCCGAUAACGAACGAGACUCUAGCCUGCUAAAUAGUUCGGGGAUCGUUCGGAGUCCCCGCCAAACUUCUUAGAGGGACAAGUGGCGCUUAGCCACACGAGAUUGAGCAAUAACAGGUCUGUGAUGCCCUUAGAUGUUCGGGGCCGCACAUGCGCUACACUGAAUGGAUCAGCGUGCGUCUCGCCUGGCCCGAAAGGGCUGGGAAACCCGUUGAACCCCAAUCGUGAUAGGGAUUGGGGCUUGCAAUUGUUCCCCAUGAACGAGGAAUUCCCAGUAAGCGCGAGUCAUCAGCUCGCGUUGAUUACGUCCCUGCCCUUUGUACACACCGCCCGUCGCUAC
RNAcentral lists this ribosomal RNA (687 nucleotides) under Corbicula regularis. Its description in RNAcentral is "SSU rRNA". It matches the Rfam family "Eukaryotic small subunit ribosomal RNA", at positions 975 to 1682 of the family's 1831-position model. Lineage: Eukaryota; Metazoa; Mollusca; Bivalvia; Venerida; Cyrenidae. The record is from RNAcentral.